This 1076-nucleotide long non-coding RNA is filed under the name Bemisia tabaci. Its description in RNAcentral is "lncRNA ENSASIAIIG011460". Lineage: Eukaryota; Metazoa; Arthropoda; Insecta; Hemiptera; Aleyrodidae. The record is from RNAcentral.
CGUUCUAAACAAGAACCGCCUAACUCCAAUACGUAAACCCCAUGUAGUUAUGCGGGCCUCGCUGAACACGGCAGUAUUGAAGCAGGGGUUCAUUCAGCUCACUGCCAAGGCCAUGGAGGCCAGUUUAAAUCAAGUGAUCAAGUGUCGACCAUAAUAUAGGCAUUACCUCAAAGGCAGGACUGUCCGUGCGAAACUCUCAACAAUCUUGUCCAGUAUACAUGUAGAUAUAUGUGAGCACACGAAUAAUGAAACCGGAAAUAUAGGAAUCCUAACUCCCCAGCGCGACGACCCACGGACCCACGCUGCCGCCACGCCGAACCACACGCUACUGCCUAUACAACAGUCACACGGACGAUACGUCGACGAUAACGCAACGCCUGGAUUGCUCAACUAAUCCUACUCAUCGGACACCAUGGUUGCCUAUGCAAAAAAUUGAAGGCGGACUGUAUAUGCCGUCACUCGCAACGAAACACCAACAAGGAACAAUGCUAGGGGCGUCGCGAAUGCUUGCACGGAAUGAGACAAAAAUUACAAGUUAAGAAUAACGUGUGCGGCGUGUUUCUCAGACACGAAUCAUCGGGUGCAAGGUGUCUUCAAUUUUCUAACUUGUCAAUAUGUCUUCAUCGAACGGGACCGAUGACGAAAGGAAAAGCGAGCUGGAGCGGUUCUAUUCGCCGAGCCAGUGGAGUCAUCGUUAUUCUGCAGAGGAGGUCAUCGCAAAACAUAUUCAGAUAAUAACUCAAGGUAAGGCUGAAGAAAUUUAAACUGCCAUGCAAAGUGAGGAUUUCGAAGAGGGAUUCGGAUAUUGCCAAAAUUUUUCCCGAUAAAAUAUUUAAUUUCCAGAAAAUUCAAGAAUGUAUGUAUUUCCGGUAUUUCACCUUGAAAUAUAAGGUGUAAUAGAGUAAGUUGUGGAGAUUUUUUGACAAAAAAAAAAUUAGAGAAAAAUAUCGAUGACUAAUUGUAAAGCUGUAAUAUGCGCAUUCCCGAUUUUAACGCUGCAAAUCGAAGGCGAGGGGGCGAAAAAUCAUAUCUCUGUGCCGUGUUUUUCAAUCUCCGCUUCUAGUUUAUUUUUUCAA